RNAcentral lists this ribosomal RNA (253 nucleotides) under uncultured bacterium. RNAcentral's name for it is "partial 16S ribosomal RNA". It matches the Rfam family "Bacterial small subunit ribosomal RNA", at positions 524 to 776 of the family's 1533-position model. The record is from RNAcentral.
UACGUAGGGCGCAAGCGUUGUCCGGAAUUAUUGGGCGUAAAGAGCUCGUAGGCGGCUUGUCACGUCGGAUGUGAAAGCCCGGGGCUUAACCCCGGGUCUGCAUUCGAUACGGGCAGGCUAGAGUGUGGUAGGGGAGAUCGGAAUUUCUGGUGUAGCGGUGAAAUGCGCAGAUAUCAGGAGGAACACCGGUGGCGAAGGCGGAUCUCUGGGCCAUUACUGACGCUGAGGAGCGAAAGCGUGGGGAGCGAACAGG